CCUACGGGUGGCAGCAGUGGGGAAUAUUGGACAAUGGGCGCAACCCUGACGCAGCAACGCCGCGUGAAGGAAGAAGGCUUUCGGAUUGUAAACUUCUUUCGACAGGGAAGAGUAGAAGGCGAUCCCUGUCAGAUAAGCCACGUCUAACUGCGUCCCAGCAGCCGCGGUAAUGCGUAGGUGGCAAGCGUUGUCCGGAUUUACUGGGUGUAAAGGGCGUGUAGACGGGUUGACAAGUCAGAUGUGAAAUCCUGCGGCUUAACCGUAGAACUGCAUUUGAAACUGUUGAUCUGGAGUGCUGGAGAGGUAGGCGGAAUUCCUAGUGUAGCGGUGAAAUGCGUAGAUAUUAGGAGGAACACCAGUGGCGAAGGCGGCUUUCUGGACUGUAACUGACAUUGAGGUACGAAAGCGUGGGGAGCAAACAGGAUUAGAUACCCGUGUAGUC
This 442-nucleotide ribosomal RNA is filed under the name uncultured bacterium. RNAcentral's name for it is "partial 16S ribosomal RNA". It matches the Rfam family "Bacterial small subunit ribosomal RNA", at positions 338 to 795 of the family's 1533-position model. The record is from RNAcentral.